Molecule: long non-coding RNA, 1405 nt
Organism: Sceloporus undulatus (fence lizard)
Lineage: Eukaryota; Metazoa; Chordata; Lepidosauria; Squamata; Phrynosomatidae
Exons: 4
Source: RefSeq, a predicted model, not a curated record
CUCUAGCUACAGACCUACAUAAAAAGAGGAGAAAGUUGCAUGUUCCAGACUGCCUAAAGCUUGAAUCCUGAAAACAUAUAGCAGGAGAGUUACUCUUUCUCCAGAGACAGCUCUUUCAAGAGGGAUGAACCUGCAUCUGCAACUCAUCUUCCUCAAUCUCCUGUGCCUUUAUGCACAGGCCUGGGCACAUGAAAGCCCCACGCAGUAUGAGCAAUUGAAGGCGCUGGACCAGCCAAAGAACAGAGAUCUGUUUCUCCGUGCCCUGCAGUCGUACCUGAAUAGUAAAGGCAUCCAAAUUGAAAAAACUGAUUCAGUAUUUGUCUGGGUCUCGAUGAGUCACAACACUGGGAUGGAUGAGGCUCAGGAAGAGAGAGAUCUGGUGGUCCUGGAGCCUGUGGCAAAGAAAUGAAUAGACAUGAAGAGCAGGUAAAAUGAUGUGUCUUCGUACUGCUGAUCGUCUUUUCCUGAACAUCUUCGCCUUGCCGCCUUGGUGUCGCACUGUGGGGUUUUAAAAAAAAUUGCCACCGAGUUUUGAUUUGGAGGUCAGAUUACCUCUUCAUAUGCUUUAGGGUGCAUGUGUACUGUAAAAAUAAUGCAGUUUGACACCACUUUAAUUGCCAUGGCUCCAUCCUACAGAAUCCUGGGAUUUGUAGUUUUGUGAGGUAUCAGCACUCAUUGGCAGAGGUGGCUAAAGGCCCUGUAAAACUACAAACCCCAGGAUUGCAUAGCAUGGAAAGCUUGCUGAAGUGGUGUCAAACUGCAUUAUUUCUACAGUGUAAAUGCACCCUUACCUCGUCCUAAAAAAAUCUGUUUAAGCCCAGUUCAUUUAAGAGUUCAUGUGGUAUAAUGGUUUCAGUAUUGAACCAGGACUGUGAGAGGCCAUAGACAUUCCCGUUCAGCUGUGAACGUCACUGUCUGACCUUAGACCAGUCACUAUCUUUCAGACUAAUCUUUUUCACAGUUGGUAGAAUUCAGACAUAGGUGUGUUAGUCUGGAUUGGUAUGCAAAAGGAUAUUUGUUGUUGUAGUAGUAGUAGUAGUAGUAGCAGCAGCAGCAGCAGCAAAUUAUUGUUAUUAUUUCCUAUCCACCUCUCCCCAUGGAUCGAGGUGAGGAACAAUAACAAAUCAACAAGUAACAACAUCAGUUAAAACACAUCAAUUAAAACAUGUAACUGUUUAAAAGGACAAAUAAGACGUACACAUUUUAAAACAGUCUAUAUUUAACAUUCAGCAUCUUAAUUUUUUUACCUUUGAAACUGAGUGGAAGAAGUUUGUAGCAUAAGCUUUCACAGACUGUAUCUAAUUCAUCAAAUGCAAGUAGAUUUAGGGCUCGAACAGACAGGCCAAAAUAAAGCUGCUUCCCGUCACUUUGGAGGUAUGCUGUUUAAAUGACGCAUGCAUGCUAA